GCAUUUUGGUUAAUAUGUAAAAGAUCAACUUCCUGCUGACCUCUAAUUUUAGGGUUUGCCGUUCCCUUUCUCCUCCAGGAACUGCUCCAGAAACGCAGUUCCUCCCUCAGGAAUCAAGAUCUUCGUCGGCGGCAGCUCCUCCAGGUUGUAAAUGCGACAGAAAAGCUAUGUGCUGGAAUCUUGAAUGGGAUCUAAAAUUUGGGGGAAGACAUCGUGGAACUGAAAGGGAAUGUUGCAAGUUAACAAAUCAUAGGUAGGGAGUGAUGGAGGGAGGAAGGAGAUUCAGGAGGUUUGGGUUACAUAGGGGACUAGCACUCAAUUAUCCUCUUAGCGUGUUACCUCUGCACAAUGUGUCCCGGGCCUCAGCCGCCACAAGGCCUCGUCUUUCCUGCACCUUAUCCUGUUGGUAUUGCGACCUCCGGAUAUAUGCAUUUACCGAUCCCAUCUUUCGUAUUGGCAGAAGAUAUGCAAGGUAUUUGCGAGUUUGGUUUUCAAUGGGAGUGGGCUUUGGAGCAACCUUAAUGAUUGUUCUUGCGUUGCUUCUCCUUUGGGAGCUAGCAGGGUUCCUACAUCUUCACAAAAGCAACGCCAAUCUCAACAAGCUUGUUUUUGGAUUCUCUCCUACAGUCUAUGGUUUGAAAAUUUCGCUUGCUGAUGCCGGAUUUAUAGUUUUGUCUACCUUGAUUUCCGUAUGUGCCCAUGAAAUUGGGCAUGCUAUUGCUGCUGCUAGUGAAGGAGUACAGGUGGAACAUGUUGCCAUUUUCAUCGCAGUUCUGUUUCCCGGUGCUUUGGUGGCUUUUAAUCAGGAUUCACUGCAGGCGUUACAACGUAUAUCUGCUCUACGCAUAUAUUGUGCCGGUAUUUGGCACAAUGCAGUGGUGAAACUGCAGUCUUUUGUCUCAUUCCUUAUGUGCAUAUAUAUCACAGAGUUCCGUUUUUCACGCGGUCCAUUUCAUGUUGACAGUUAUUAUAUAGUCAAUAAUUUCUUAACAGUCACUUUUGCACCUUGUGUACUCAUGAAUAUUCAUCUCCCUGCAGUGUUGUGCAAUCUCUGGAUUGACGUUGUUGCUCUUGCCGUCUAUUUUGUUUCCUUUGUAUGUGCAUGGUCAAGGCCUAAUGGCGAUAUGAUUGUGGCUGUAGAUGACAUACCCAUUCGUGAUAAACAAGAUUGGGUGGAGGCAAUUUCUUUAAUAGACAUAGAUUCGAAUCAGGAAUCAAAUCAUACUCAAUAUGUGGGGAAAGGCAGCAGCAAGAAGGGUUAUUGUGUUCCUUUGGGCUCGUUGGAAGAAAGAGAGAGCAUACGGCAUGUGGAUAAUGUAUCUACUUGCCUUGACGAUCUUACCGCCUUCAUUAGCACGCCUUGCUCUGAUAUGGACACCACAGAUUAUAAUGAUGGUAGCGGUAGCGCAGAAGAGCAUGCACGCUGCUUGGAUGCUAAGGAGGUUAUCAAGCUCAGGAAAUGUGGUGAUGGGUGGUCCCACAUUGUCAACGGCAGCAGCUGCCUCUGUUUGCAGGAUGAGUCUUGUGUCACUCCAAUAAAGAAACAGGGUUCGAUGUGGGUUGAGGUCACAUGCUUCAGCUCGUAUGGUUCUCCUGCGUGCUCUCGAAUUGAGCAAACCCCGUUGCCCACUUCUCAAAUCUCAAAACUUACGGAGAGAAACUGCAGUAGGAGUUUUGUGUAUGUUGGGGAUCUCUUCUCAUUGUCAAAUUCAGUUCACUUUACCUCAUAUAGACCACGUCUCUGGGCAUCCAGUGUUGGUGCUUACGUUCCGUAUGUCAUGGAAAAGAUUCUGAUUUUGACAUACCAUGUUUCUCUUACGUUAGCCCUUAUGAAUACUUUGCCAGUUUUUUUCUUGGACGGGGAAUCCAUCUUAGAAGUGAACUUAAGCUACUGUUCUUGGUUGAGCCAUCGGAAGAGUAAAGACCUUCUUCAAUUGAUCCUUGCUGUGGGAACCUUGAUUUCAGUACUUUCCUUUGUGAAGAUGAUUGCUAAAGGCUAUUGAAUGCUAUGGAACUCGACUCUUGUGGCUCUCUCUUUUUCUCGUUAUGAGGAACAGCUUCUGCUCAUAUUUUUUCCCAUUCGACAGUAAUAGUAUCUCAGCUCGGAUGGUCUAUUAAAUAUGUGGACAAUUUUCAUUGGGAUGGAUGAAGCACGCGACUCUUGUAGGAGAGAGCAGAUGAUCAAACAGCCCUCCUCCAUGGAGGUUUCCUCUUCUGAUGACCCUACGCUAAUACUAAGGUUCAACUACUAUUUACUUCGUCAGUGCCCGGAAGAUUUAUCGAUCCCCUCUCGAAGCUCCCAGUGCAGACUGUUCGAUCAAAUAAGGGGGACCAUUAUAAUCAGAAGCGAUCCAAGUGAAUGAAGAAAAAACACCAAGAAGUCAUGCUUGAUAAGGUGAAUUCUCAUUACUUGUGGGAUUUGGAAAGCAUACCGAAUUGAGAAGCCUGAUAGCAGCAGGCCGAGUAAAUUUUCUGGCGAAGAGAAAGCAUCCUGAUGGCUUGCCUUUGCUGCUGCACCAUUCUCUCCGGUGCUCAGUCUCAUAAUAGAUAUUGUUGAUAUCCUGCAGAAGUGUAUCAUAAAUGAUAUAUAUCCAGUAUCGCUAUGAGGACUCGAACAAGCCAACUUAUCAGGAAGGCAAGUUUAUAGGGUUAAAUACAACGUUGGAUAGAGGA
Molecule: non-coding RNA, 2673 nt
Organism: Punica granatum (pomegranate)
Lineage: Eukaryota; Viridiplantae; Streptophyta; Magnoliopsida; Myrtales; Lythraceae
Source: RefSeq, a predicted model, not a curated record